This 495-nucleotide ribosomal RNA is filed under the name uncultured bacterium. Its description in RNAcentral is "partial 16S ribosomal RNA". It matches the Rfam family "Bacterial small subunit ribosomal RNA", at positions 28 to 507 of the family's 1533-position model. The record is from RNAcentral.
GACGAACGCUGGCGGCGUGCCUAAUACAUGCAAGUAGAACGCUGAAGGAGGAGCUUGCUCUUCUGGAUGAAUUGCGAACGGGUGAGUAACGCGUAGGUAACCUGCCUGGUAGCGGGGGAUAACUAUUGGAAACGAUAGCUAAUACCGCAUAAGAGUAGAUGUUGCAUGACAUUUGCUUAAAAGGUGCAAUUGCAUCACUACCAGAUGGACCUGCGUUGUAUUAGCUAGUUGGUGGGGUAACGGCUCACCAAGGCGACGAUACAUAGCCGACCUGGGAGGGUGAUCGGCCACACUGGGACUGAGACACGGCCCAGACUCCUACGGGAGGCAGCAGUAGGGAAUCUUCGGCAAUGGACGGAAGUCUGACCGAGCAACGCCGCGUGAGUGAAGAAGGUUUUCGGAUCGUAAAGCUCUGUUGUAAGAGAAGAACGAGUGUGAGAGUGGAAAGUUCACACUGUGACGGUAUCUUACCAGAAAGGGACGGCUAACUACGUG